AGAGUUUGAUCAUGGCUCAGAGCGAACGCUGGCGGCAGGCCUAACACAUGCAAGUCGAGCGCCCCGCAAGGGGAGCGGCAGACGGGAGAGUAACACGUGGGAACGUGCCCUUUGGUUCGGAACAACACAGGGAAACUUGUGCUGAUACCGGGUAAGUCCGUAAGGAGAAAGAUUUAUCGCCAAAGGAUCGGCCCGCGUCUGAUUAGCUUGUUGGCGAGGUAACGGCUCACCAAGGCGACGAUCAGUAGCUGGUCUGAGAGGAUGAUCAGCCUCACUGGGACUGAGACACGGCCCAGACUCCUACGGGAGGCAGCAGUGGGGAAUAUUGGACAAUGGGCGCAAGCCUGAUCCAGCCAUGCCGCGUGGAUGAUGAAGGCCCUAGGGUUGUAAAGUCCUUUCGGCGGGGAAGAUAAUGACGGUACCCGCAGAAGAAGCCCCGGCUAACUUCGUGCCAGCAGCCGCGGUAAUACGAAGGGGGCUAGCGUUGCUCGGAAUCACUGGGCGUAAAGCGCACGUAGGCGGCUUUUUAAGUCAGAGGUGAAAUCCUGGAGCUCAACUCCAGAACUGCCUUUGAUACUGGAGAGCUUGAGUCCGGGAGAGGUGAGUGGAACUGCGAGUGUAGAGGUGAAAUUCGUAGAUAUUCGCAAGAACACCAGUGGCGAAGGCGGCUCACUGGCCCGGUACUGACGCUGAGGUGCGAAAGCGUGGGGAGCAAACAGGAUUAGAUACCCCCGUAGUCC
Molecule: ribosomal RNA, 740 nt
Filed under: uncultured bacterium
Lineage: Bacteria
Description: bacterial SSU rRNA
Rfam family: Bacterial small subunit ribosomal RNA
Source: RNAcentral